GAUUUAGACAGGGAAAAGGGGGUCACUUUAAAGAUUCGUCCUUCUCCCUUGUUUUCCGUUUAAAGUCGAGUCGGGAAACUUGUCUUGUCAAGAGAUUUUGCCUGGCUAAACACGGCCCCUUCCCCCAUCUGUAACUCAUUCCCCCUCUCACACACACACACACUUGCUGUGUAUGACCUCGAGGUCACGGUGAAGUGACUUUGAGCCUUGUCUAACUGGGCCUCUUUGAGAGCAGCCCUCGCAUUCCUGCUCACUCAGACAGUCCAUGCGGCGCUUGUUACCAGCGCCGGGGAGGAAGUUUCUGCCGGUAGGGAUUAUGCGCAGUUUCCUCAGCCCGGGAGCUUCGGCCUUGUCCCCUCCCACCGCCGAAAAAAGCAGCGAUUCCACAAAACGAGCAGGAGGGGGAAAGCGGUGCGCCACAAACUUAAACCUGCUCUUCUCGCCACCAGGCAGUGCCCGAAGGUUUCUCCUCGCACUUGCUUUUUAUAUAUUUCUAUAUUUUAAAAACAUAUCUCGAGCUCUGCUUGCGCACCACGGUACGUUUUUCAGUAGGAAACAUCCAACGUUUCGGCCAUGUUCGCAGCACCGUGGUACAGAAGUGCAUUGUAUUGGGACCCGAGUAAGGAAGGAGGGAGCGAGGGAGGAGGAGGAGGAGGAGGAGGAGGAGGAUGGUGGUGCUGGAGAAGCACACAGCUGCACGGCACACAGAAGCCGGUUUCCCAACCCUGACAGCAAGGGAGCGAGGGAACAAGGGGCCUCGCUUCAGCAGCUCCAUCCAGGAGAGAGAUGUUCUUUCUUUCUUUCUUUCUUUCUUUCUUUGUAUUUUUUAUUUUUUUUAAACCGCUCUGAAAUACAGAAUGGAUCAGGACGAGAAAGCGGAUUCUUUUCCCUUGUCCGUGGCUGGCUACUCUUAUCCACUACAGAGCGCCCCGGAUCAGACGUGCCGGACGUGUGCACUUGACUGCAGUAAAAUUGCGACGAGCGGGCGUGCGUGCGAUACGUUUCCGGAGCCGUGCUACAUCAGGAAUAGAAAGUUAAGAAGUCACCUUGUGCAGCAUGCAGGUUUGGGUACACCUUACGUGCUGAUGUUAUCGCCUGAUGUAAAGCGACGCGUUCUCCUAACUGAAGUCUGUGACUUUCCCCAGAAGUCAUCCUGGUCGACCUAAAGGCUUUUCCACGUCGGCCAUGCAUAAGUCAUGUAGCGCUACCCUUGCGGCAGUGUGUGUGUGUGUGUGUGUGUGUAAGUCACGUGGUAGGGUGUGCAGUAAGGAAAGCACAGCUGGUAAGUUCUGCAUAUACAGAAGACUCACAGACACACACACACACACACACACACACACACACAUACAUACAUACAUACAUACAUAC
This is a long non-coding RNA of Ictalurus punctatus (channel catfish), 1368 nucleotides long. NCBI's taxonomy places the organism in Eukaryota, Metazoa, Chordata, Actinopteri, Siluriformes, Ictaluridae. The record is from Ensembl.